GAGCACGUAGGUGGGUUUGUAAGUCAGAUGUGAAAGCCUCCUGUUCAACGGGAGAAUUGCAUCUGAAACUGCGAAUCUUGAGUGUAGGAGGGGAGAAUGGAACUUCUGGUGGAGCGGUGAAAUGCGUAGAUAUCAGAAGGAACGCCGGCGGCGAAAGCGAUUCUCUGGCCUAUUACUGACACUCAGUGUGCGAAAGCUGGGGGAGCAAACGGGAUUAGAUACCCCGGUAGUCCUAGCCGUAAACGAUGGGCACUAAGUAGAGGGAAUUACCGAUAUUCUCUCUGCCGUAGCUAACGCAUUAAGUGCCCCGCCUGGGGAGUACGGCCGCAAGGCUAAAACUCAAAAGAAUUGACGGGGGCUCGCACAAGCGGUGGAGCAUGUGGCUUAAUUCGAUGCAACGCGAAAAACCUUACCGGGGCUUGACAUGGUAGAAGUAGGAACCCGAAAGGGUGACGAACGGUAUCCAGUCCGUAGCUAUUACAGGUGUUGCAUGGCUGUCGUCAGCUCGUGUCGUGAGACGUUGGGUUAAGUCCCCUAACGAGCGAAACCCUUGUUUUUAGUUGCCAGCGGGUUAAGCCGGGCACUCUAGAAAGACUGCCGUCGUCAAGACGGAGGAAGGUGGGGAUGACGUCAAGUCAUCAUGGCCCUUAUGCCCCGGGCUGCACACGUGCUACAAUGGUCGGUACAAACGGAAGCGAAGCCGAGAGGUGAAGCGAAUCC
This 720-nucleotide ribosomal RNA is filed under the name uncultured anaerobic ammonium-oxidizing bacterium. RNAcentral describes it as "bacterial SSU rRNA". It matches the Rfam family "Bacterial small subunit ribosomal RNA", at positions 565 to 1274 of the family's 1533-position model. The record is from RNAcentral.